UAGCUCAGCGGUAGAGCACUUGCCUAGCGAGCAAAAGGCCCUGGGUUCGGUCCCCAG
This 57-nucleotide transfer RNA is filed under the name Rattus norvegicus (Norway rat). It matches the Rfam family "tRNA", at positions 8 to 63 of the family's 71-position model. From Rfam's summary of the family: Transfer RNA (tRNA) molecules are approximately 80 nucleotides in length. Lineage: Eukaryota; Metazoa; Chordata; Mammalia; Rodentia; Muridae. The record is from Rfam by way of RNAcentral.